AGCGAACGCUGGCGGCAGGCCUAACACAUGCAAGUCGAACGAACUCUUCGGAGUUAGUGGCGGACGGGUGAGUAACACGUGGGAACGUGCCUUUAGGUUCGGAAUAACUCAGGGAAACUUGUGCUAAUACCGAAUGUGCCCUUCGGGGGAAAGAUUUAUCGCCUUUAGAGCGGCCCGCGUCUGAUUAGCUAGUUGGUGAGGUAAAGGCGCACCAAGGCGACGAUCAGUAGCUGGUCUGAGAGGAUGAUCCGCCACAUUGGGACUGAGACACGGCCCAAACUCCUACGGGAGGCAGCAGUGGGGAAUCUUGCGGAAUGGGCGAAAGCCUGACGCAGCCAUGCCGCGUGAAUGAUGAAGGUCUUAGGAUUGUAAAAUUCUUUCACCGGGGACGAUAAUGACGGUACCCGGAGAAGAAGCCCCGGCUAACUUCGUGCCAGCCGCCGCCGUAA
Molecule: ribosomal RNA, 449 nt
Filed under: uncultured bacterium
Lineage: Bacteria
Description: partial 16S ribosomal RNA
Rfam family: Bacterial small subunit ribosomal RNA
Source: RNAcentral